Quercus robur (English oak) is the source of this 1450-nucleotide RNA transcript. It is a transcript of the gene named probable protein S-acyltransferase 12, with no coding region annotated. The transcript has 9 exons. The record is from RefSeq and is a predicted model, not a curated record. Lineage: Eukaryota; Viridiplantae; Streptophyta; Magnoliopsida; Fagales; Fagaceae.
AAAAAUAAUCAAAAGAAAUCAUAACAUAAGAAAUUCUUAUCCCUAAUCCAAAUCCAAUCCAAGAACAACUCUAAACCUGGCUCCGGAUAUCUGGAAACGCCUGUUCCCAUCACAACCCCGAAGCAGGCGACAGAUCUGGAUAGCACGGCGUUCCAGUUCCAGUCCCGGAAUGGACAUAAACGCGUUCAAGUGGUGUUCGGGUCUCAGAGUGUUGGGCUACUUCAUGAUCCUCCUCGUCGCCGCAAUCGUCUCCGUCUCCUACUACGCCGUCGUCGUCCUCACCUGGGGCCCACUGUUGCUUCGCGGUGGCCUCCGCUCCCUCUUAGCCUCCGCCAUCCUCUUCCUCUUCCAUCUCCUGCUUGCACUGUUAUCAUGGUGUUACUUUAAGGCAGUGUUUAAGGGCCCCGGUUCUGUUCCUGAAAAUUGGAGACCUGCUGUGACAGAAGAGGAGAAUUUGGAGGCUGGUGGUAGUAGUUCCAUCAUGACAUCAUCUGAUCAUGUCGCGCCUGAUGCUUUAGUUCCCACGUGGUCUUCUGAUGGACUCGAAAGAAAACAGGCUGGCUAUUGUGCCCAUUGCCAAAAUGGCAAGCCCCCACGUUGCCAUCAUUGCUCCAUUUGCCAAAGAUGUAUUCUGAAGAUGGAUCACCAUUGUGUUUGGGUUGUUAAUUGUGUUGGAGCACACAAUUAUAAGUUUUUUCUUCUUUUCCUGGUUUAUACAUUCCUGGAGACGACAAUGGAUACCUUGGUUUUGCUGCCUAAUUUUAUCCAAUUCUUUAGUGAAGCUAUGAAUCAUUCUAGCUCUCCUGGCAAUCUUGCAAUAAUUUUUUUGGCUUUUGUUCUAAAUUUAGCCUUUGCCCUGAGUCUUCUUUGUUUUAUAAUCAUGCAUGCGUCUCUUGUGUCAAGCAAUACCACGUCAGUAGAGGUUUACGAGAAGAAAAAAACAAUCAGGUGGAGGUAUGACUUGGGCAGGAAGAAGAAUUUUGAGCAGGUUUUUGGCACGAAGAAGGCGUUAUGGUUAUUACCUUUGUUUUCAAAAGAGGAUUUAGAAAACAUACCUGCACUUCAGGGUCUUGAAUUCCCAACUCGUUCAGAUGUUGAGGCUUGAGGCAUGCUGUGACAGACUGCCAUAAACUUGUUCCUGCAUUUGAUGCCUAUAUUAGGCAGUUUCAUGCUAUAUCUACUUCCAGUCUUCCACGACGCAUUAUUGAUGGAUUUUAAUUGAAUUAGGUGAGGUUUGAACCAGAUCUCUUAUGCAUUCAAACAAGUCUAUUGGCAGCCUAAACUGUAACUUUGGUGUAACUUUAAUUCAAAUGGUUGAUUGGGCAUUGCGACUUAUGGGGGUUUGCCUUUUGUGUAAAUGAAUUCUACCCCUUUAUUUGUUUUGGUGGAAAAUGUUUUAUGUGAUUAACGGAAAUCAAGUUCAACAGAGCAAAAAAACGUUUUCAGAAAA